RNAcentral lists this ribosomal RNA (124 nucleotides) under Kalopanax septemlobus. Its description in RNAcentral is "partial 26S ribosomal RNA". Lineage: Eukaryota; Viridiplantae; Streptophyta; Magnoliopsida; Apiales; Araliaceae. The record is from RNAcentral.
CCCAGUCAGGCGGGACAACCCGCUGAGUGUAAGCAUGUUAAUAACUGUAAGAAACAAAACUAUUUCUAUUUCUCACAUCUUGUUAUAUCUUUAUAAUAUCUCUUAGACUCUACUAUAUUUUAUU